RNAcentral lists this microRNA (23 nucleotides) under Caenorhabditis remanei. RNAcentral's name for it is "crm-miR-66-5p". Its record names the gene crm-miR-66-5p. Lineage: Eukaryota; Metazoa; Nematoda; Chromadorea; Rhabditida; Rhabditidae. The record is from miRBase by way of RNAcentral.
CAUGACACAGAUUAAAGGAUGUG